UACAGAGGGUGCUAGCGUUGUUCGGAAUCAUUGGGCGUAAAGGGCGUGUAGGCGGUUUGUUAAGUCAUGUGUGAAAUCCCUCGGCUCAACCGGGGAACGACGCAUGAAACUGGCAAGCUAGAGUACCAAAGAGGGGGGUGGAAUUCCCGGUGUAGCGGUGAAAUGCGUAGAGAUCGGCAGGAACACCGGUGGCGAAGGCGGCAUCCUGGACCAAUUCUGACGCUGAUGAGCGAAAGCCAGGGGAGCAAACGGG
RNAcentral lists this ribosomal RNA (253 nucleotides) under uncultured bacterium. RNAcentral's name for it is "partial 16S ribosomal RNA". It matches the Rfam family "Bacterial small subunit ribosomal RNA", at positions 524 to 776 of the family's 1533-position model. The record is from RNAcentral.